GACGAACGCUGGCGGCGUGCUUAACACAUGCAAGUCGAACGGAAAGGCCCUUCGGGGUACUCGAGUGGCGAACGGGUGAGUAACACGUGGGUGAUCAGCCCUGCACUUUGGGAUAAGCCUGGGAAACUGGGUCUAAUACCGAAUAGGACCACGCGCUUCAUGGUGUGUGGUGGAAAGCUUUUGCGGUGUGGGAUGGGCCCGCGGCCUAUCAGCUUGUUGGUGGGGUAAUGGCCUACCAAGGCGACGACGGGUAGCCGGCCUGAGAGGGUGACCGGCCACACUGGGACUGAGAUACGGCCCAGACUCCUACGGGAGGCAGCAGUGGGGAAUAUUGCACAAUGGGCGCAAGCCUGAUGCAGCGACGCCGCGUGAGGGAUGACGGCCUUCGGGUUGUAAACCUCUUUCAAUAGGGACGAAGCGCAAGUGACGGUACCUAUAGAAGAAGCACCGGCCAACUACGUG
This 462-nucleotide ribosomal RNA is filed under the name uncultured bacterium. RNAcentral describes it as "partial 16S ribosomal RNA". It matches the Rfam family "Bacterial small subunit ribosomal RNA", at positions 28 to 507 of the family's 1533-position model. The record is from RNAcentral.